This is a long non-coding RNA of Diachasmimorpha longicaudata, 413 nucleotides long. RefSeq lists it as uncharacterized. NCBI's taxonomy places the organism in Eukaryota, Metazoa, Arthropoda, Insecta, Hymenoptera, Braconidae. The transcript has 3 exons. The record is from RefSeq and is a predicted model, not a curated record.
GGGAGAGUCGCCAGGAUCUUGAGAGCGAAUACAAAUUGUUACCGAUGGAAAAAUUCGGUGGAUAAUUUUUGGGGUGUCAAGUUCAUUCCUCAUAAAUGGCCAGAGAAAUUCGUAUCGAGCACCAAAGUCGAUAAUAUAUCGAGCUCCUGGUACAAGCAGCGUGAUGGUGAUAGGACUCGGAGUGCCCGGAACAGUGGGGAGUGGUGAAACGAUAAUAAUAGAUAAAUUAAGCCGAGGAUAAGCAGGAAGGAGAAAAGUGACAAAUCAAUAACAGAAAAUAUCUUAUUAGAUAUUGUUCUCAGUGACUGGUUUAUCAUUUAACUUUUAUGGAAUCAUUUAUGAUACUCACUUGCGUCCAGUGGAUUCACCAGGCCUGAGCUGUUCCAGUCAAAUUGAGCAGCUGGUACCUCCUG